GUCGAGGGGCAGCAUGAACUUAGCUUGCUAAGUUUGAUGGCGACCGGCUCACGGGUGAGUAACACGUAUCCAACCUGCCGAUGACUCGGGGAUAGCCUUUCGAAAGAAAGAUUAAUACCCGAUGGCAUAGUUCUUCCGCAUGGUAGGACUAUUAAAGAAUUUCGGUCAUCGAUGGGGAUGCGUUCCAUUAGCUUGUUGGCGGGGUAACGGCCCACCAAGGCAUCGAUGGAUAGGGGUUCUGAGAGGAAGGUCCCCCACAUUGGAACUGAGACACGGUCCAAACUCCUACGGGAGGCAGCAGUGAGGAAUAUUGGUCAAUGGGCGCUAGCCUGAACCAGCCAAGUAGCGUGAAGGAUGACUGCCCUAUGGGUUGUAAACUUCUUUUAUAUGGGAAUAAAGUGCAGUAUGUAUACUGCUUUGCAUGUACCUUAUGAAUAAGGAUCGGCUAACUCCGUGCCAGCAGCCGCGGUAAUACGGAGGAUCCGAGCGUUAUCCGGAUUUAUUGGGUUUAAAGGGAGCGUAGGCGGGUUGUUAAGUCAGUUGUGAAAGUUUGCGGCUCAACCGUAAAAUUGCAGUUGAUACUGGCAUCCUUGAGUACAG
This 600-nucleotide ribosomal RNA is filed under the name uncultured bacterium. Its description in RNAcentral is "bacterial SSU rRNA". It matches the Rfam family "Bacterial small subunit ribosomal RNA", at positions 61 to 651 of the family's 1533-position model. The record is from RNAcentral.